AGGAAAUACAAGUGGGGCAGUUAUGGAAAGGACGGCAGGUUCGGAGUGCCUACUCCCCACCACAACGAUGGACGCAGUGUCUCCAAAUCUCUCCACUGGUUGUGUGAUACUCAGAACCUUUUAUAGCAUAGCAGACACAUUGAAAGUGCCAGCAGGUCUUACAUAUGGAAUCUUGAUGCGGCCAGAGGACUUUGGUGCGGGUGACCUUCUCCACUCCACCCCUCCAGCAGAGUACCAGAAAGGCACAGACAGACAGCGCAC
Salvelinus namaycush (lake trout) is the source of this 261-nucleotide long non-coding RNA. RefSeq lists it as uncharacterized. Lineage: Eukaryota; Metazoa; Chordata; Actinopteri; Salmoniformes; Salmonidae. The transcript has 3 exons. The record is from RefSeq and is a predicted model, not a curated record.